GAUGAACGCUGGCGGCGUGCCUAAUACAUGCAAGUCGAGCGAACAGACGAGGAGCUUGCUCCUCUGACGUUAGCGGCGGACGGGUGAGUAACACGUGGAUAACCUACCUAUAAGACUGGGAUAACUUCGGGAAACCGGAGCUAAUACCGGAUAAUAUAUUGAACCGCAUGGUUCAAUAGUGAAAGACGGUUUUGCUGUCACUUAUAGAUGGAUCCGCGCCGCAUUAGCUAGUUGGUAAGGUAACGGCUUACCAAGGCGACGAUGCGUAGCCGACCUGAGAGGGUGAUCGGCCACACUGGAACUGAGACACGGUCCAGACUCCUACGGGAGGCAGCAGUAGGGAAUCUUCCGCAAUGGGCGAAAGCCUGACGGAGCAACGCCGCGUGAGUGAUGAAGGUCUUCGGAUCGUAAAGCUCUGUUAUUAGGGAAGAACAAAUGUGUAAGUAACUCUGCACGUCUUGACGGUACCUAAUCAGAAAGCCACGGCUAACUACGUG
This 497-nucleotide ribosomal RNA is filed under the name uncultured bacterium. RNAcentral's name for it is "partial 16S ribosomal RNA". It matches the Rfam family "Bacterial small subunit ribosomal RNA", at positions 28 to 507 of the family's 1533-position model. The record is from RNAcentral.